GACGAACGCUGGCGGCGUGCUUAACACAUGCAAGUCGAACGGAAAGGCCCUGCUUUUGUGGGGUGCUCGAGUGGCGAACGGGUGAGUAACACGUGAGUAACCUGCCCUUGACUUUGGGAUAACUUCAGGAAACUGGGGCUAAUACCGGAUAGGAGCUCCUGCUGCAUGUUGGGGGUUGGAAAGUUUCGGCGGUUGGGGAUGGACUUGCGGCUUAUCAGCUUGUUGGUGGGGUAGUGGCUUACCAAGGCUUUGACGGGUAGCCGGCCUGGGAGGGUGACCGGCCACAUUGGGACUGAGAUACGGCCCAGAGUCCUACGGGAGGCAGCAGUGGGGAAUAUUGCACAAUGGGCGGAAGCCUGAUGCAGCAACGCCGCGUGCGGGAUGACGGCCUUCGGGUUGUAAACCGCUUUCGCCUGUGACGAAGCGUGAGUGACGGUAAUGGGUAAAGAAGCACCGGCUAACUACGUG
Molecule: ribosomal RNA, 468 nt
Filed under: uncultured bacterium
Lineage: Bacteria
Description: partial 16S ribosomal RNA
Rfam family: Bacterial small subunit ribosomal RNA
Source: RNAcentral